AGAUAAUAGAUACCCUGGUAGUCCUGGCCCUCAACGUUGCUCGCUCGUUUUACGGAGUAUCGACCCUCUGUGAGACUAAAGCUAACGCGGUAAGCGAGCCGCCUGGGUAGUACGAUCGCAAGAUUAAAACUCAAAGGAAUAGACGGGGACUCGCACAAGCAGUGGAUUAUGCGGCUUAAUUCGUCGGUAAACGAAGAACCUUACCAAGGUUAGAAACCCAACUGCAUCCGACCUGAAAGGGACGGAGCCUUCGAGGGUGUUGGGCAGGUGAUGCAUGGUCGUCGUCAGUUCGUGGUUUGAACUGUUCCCUUCAGUGGGGUAACGAACGCAACCCCCGUUGCCUGUUGCCUAUAUGGCCAGGCGAGACUGCUCCCUCACGGGAGAGGAAGGUGGGGUAUGACGCCAGAUCAGCAUGUCCCUCUGAUACCUUGGGCUGCAC
RNAcentral lists this ribosomal RNA (439 nucleotides) under uncultured bacterium. Its description in RNAcentral is "bacterial SSU rRNA". It matches the Rfam family "Bacterial small subunit ribosomal RNA", at positions 774 to 1219 of the family's 1533-position model. The record is from RNAcentral.